UGAGGAAUAUUGGUCAAUGGACGCAAGUCUGAACCAGCCAAGUAGCGUGCAGGAUGACGGCCCUCCGGGUUGUAAACUGCUUUUAGUUGGGAAUAAAAGGGGGCUCGUGAGCCCCGUAUUGUAUGUACCAUCAGAAAAAGGACCGGCUAAUUCCGUGCCAGCAGCCGCGGUAAUACGGAAGGUCCGGGCGUUAUCCGGAUUUAUUGGGUUUAAAGGGAGCGUAGGCCGGCUUUUAAGUCAGCUGUGAAAGUCCGCGGCUCAACCGUGGAAUUGCAGUUGAAACUGGAGGCCUUGAGUGCACAC
RNAcentral lists this ribosomal RNA (303 nucleotides) under uncultured bacterium. RNAcentral describes it as "bacterial SSU rRNA". It matches the Rfam family "Bacterial small subunit ribosomal RNA", at positions 355 to 653 of the family's 1533-position model. The record is from RNAcentral.